GAUGAACGCUAGCUACAGGCUUAACACAUGCAAGUCGAGGGGUAACGAGAGGAAAGCUUGCUUUCCUUGUCGACGACCGGCGCACGGGUGAGUAACGCGUAUCCAACCUGCCCCCAACUAGGGAAUAACCUUGCGAAAGUAAGACUAAUACCCUAUAAUUUCCUCAGAUGCCAUCUGACGAGGAAUAAAGAUUUAUCGGUUGUGGAGUGGGAUGCGUCUGAUUAGAUUGUUGGCGGGGUAACGGCCCACCAAGGCAACGAUCAGUAGGGGUUCUGAGAGGAAGGUCCCCCACAUUGGAACUGAGACACGGUCCAAACUCCUACGGGAGGCAGCAGUGAGGAAUAUUGGUCAAUGGGCGGAAGCCUGAACCAGCCAAGUAGCGUGCAGGAUGACGGCCCUAUGGGUUGUAAACUGCUUUUAUACAGGAAUAAAGUUAGCCACGUGUGGUUAUUUGUAGGUACUGUAUGAAUAAGGACCGGCUAAUUCCGUGCCAGCAGCCGCCGUAA
RNAcentral lists this ribosomal RNA (506 nucleotides) under uncultured bacterium. Its description in RNAcentral is "partial 16S ribosomal RNA". It matches the Rfam family "Bacterial small subunit ribosomal RNA", at positions 28 to 523 of the family's 1533-position model. The record is from RNAcentral.